Non-coding RNA from Schizosaccharomyces pombe (fission yeast), 658 nucleotides. Lineage: Eukaryota; Fungi; Ascomycota; Schizosaccharomycetes; Schizosaccharomycetales; Schizosaccharomycetaceae. The record is from the annotation of a GenBank genome assembly.
AACGUAAUUUUGAAAAAGCUCGUCAUCUUCCUCAGCAGAGUCUACUUCAGAAUAAGGCGAUGAAGAUUCAGAGGGCCUUGCACUGUCAAGAGGAGCAAACUCGAUAUCUCGAGAGACUCGCUCAGGAACAUUAGUAAAGGGUCGUUUAUGUUGAAGAGGACUAGAAGUGGCUGAAGUUUGUAGACGAUGUGAUAUUUUGGGAGACCUCAAUUGUGGAGAAAAAUUGUUUGAAGAUGAAAGCAGCUUUAACCUCUCCGAAAAUGCUGGCGAAGUAUGUAAAGCAGAGCUAUCCAUAAAUGACAUAGGAACAGCUACCCUAUGAGAUUUAUGCGAGCGAAAUUUUGGUGUAGACGCGUGGGCUGGCGGAGUUUUCAUAGUCAGCGAUGUUUCCACAUUAGGGCUCAAUUCAGAAUAGGACUGAAAGGUAUUAUUUUGAGAGACGUGCGGAGACUCUAUUUUAACCGGGGUUUCAAUGUUGCUAGGUUUGUCAAUGAAUUGUGGAGACAGAAGCGGUUCUGUUUCGUUGUGUGGCUUUUUCGUGCUUUUGGAAGGAGAGGAGGGAUAAAGGUAUUUAGGAGCUAUUUCAUCCUCGGAGCUAGACGCUUUUGAGGUGUUAGAGUUUUCCUCUUUUUGAAGAUGAGACAAUAAAUGUUGUGGA